GUGAAUCAUCAAAUUUUUGAACGCAAAUUGCACUUUCUGGUAUUCCGGAAAGUAUGCCUGUUUGAGGGUCAGUUAAAUAAAAAUCGGUGUUGUUGCUGCCUUUCGUGGUGACGCGUGGGAAUUGGGUCGUCUUUCAUUCGGUUAAGUGACUUAAGAUUUUUGCAUGAUUUUCGAAUGUAUUUAAAUCGUUUACGUAAGUUUGAGAUAUCGAAUGGUUAUUAGGUUCGGUCAUUCCCAUGAUUAGCGUCUAUCAUUUUUCAU
RNAcentral lists this unclassified non-coding RNA (261 nucleotides) under Glomeraceae sp. Its description in RNAcentral is "partial contains 5.8S ribosomal RNA and internal transcribed spacer 2". The stretch from base 1 to 71 matches the Rfam family "5.8S ribosomal RNA", at positions 84 to 154 of the family's 154-position model. The record is from RNAcentral. Lineage: Eukaryota; Fungi; Glomeromycota; Glomeromycetes; Glomerales; Glomeraceae.